GACGAACGCUGGCGGCGUGCUUAACACAUGCAAGUCGAACGGAAAGGCCCUGCUUUUGUGGGGUGCUUGAGUGGCGAACGGGUGAGUAACACGUGAGUAACCUGCCCUUGAAUUUGGGAUAACUCCAGGAAACUGGGGCUAAUACCGGAUAGGAGCUCCUGCUGCAUGGUGGUGGUUGGAAAGUUUCGGCGGUUGGGGAUGGACUCGCGGCUUCUCAGCUUGUUGGGGGGGUAGUGACUUACCAAGUCUUUGACGGGUAGCCGGCCUGAGAGGGUGACCGGCCUCAAUGGUACUGCGAGACGGCCCAGACGCGAACGUUAGGCAGCAGUGGGAAAUAUGACACAAUGAGCGGAAGCCAGAUGCAGCAGCGCCGCGUUCGGGAUGACGUCCUUCUGGGUGUAAACCUCUGUCUCCUGUGACGAAGCGUGAGUGACGGUAAUUGAUAAAGAAGCACCGGCUAACUACGUG
RNAcentral lists this ribosomal RNA (468 nucleotides) under uncultured bacterium. RNAcentral's name for it is "partial 16S ribosomal RNA". It matches the Rfam family "Bacterial small subunit ribosomal RNA", at positions 28 to 507 of the family's 1533-position model. The record is from RNAcentral.